RNAcentral lists this ribosomal RNA (2424 nucleotides) under Triticum aestivum (bread wheat). RNAcentral's name for it is "partial small subunit ribosomal RNA". The record is from RNAcentral. Lineage: Eukaryota; Viridiplantae; Streptophyta; Magnoliopsida; Poales; Poaceae.
AUGUCCGACCAGCAGCCGCCCAGCACCCUCCUCCCCCUCGCCUCCCUUCCCCCAAACCCUAACCCUAACCCUACCCCGCCUCCCGUACCGGCCCCAACCCUUGCCCUCCACAUCCCCGCCAUCCCGAGCCCCAGCAAGCGCAAGCGCACCGGGUUCCGCCGCAAAGUCCCCUCCGCCGCCUCCCCUGCUCCUCACCCGCCGGUUCCCCCCUCCGCGGCGGACGACAUCAUAGUGAUCAACCGGGAGCCGACAGCGGAGGCCGUCACCGCGCUCACCGCCGGGUUUCCGGCGGAUUCCCUCACCGACGAGGAGAUCGAGGCGGGGGUGGUCUCGGACGUGGGCGGCAUCGAGCAGGUCAACUACAUCCUCAUCCGCAACCACCUCCUCACCAGGUGGCGGGAGACCUUCAACUCAUGGCUGGCCAAGGAGCCCUUCGCCUCGCUCAUCCCGCCCCACUGCGAGCACCUCCUCACCUCCGCCUACAACUUCCUCGUCUCCCACGGCCACGUCAACUUCGGCGUCGCCCCCGCCAUCAAGGAGCGCCUCCCCAAGGAGCCCACCAGGCCCAACACUGUCAUCGUUGUCGGCGCUGGCCUUGCUGGGCUCGCCGCGGCGCGGCACUUGCUGGCGUCCGGCUUUAAAGUGAUUGUAUUGGAGGGACGCAAGCGGUGCGGUGGCCGCGUGUACACGAAGAAGAUGGAAGGUGGUGGGCAUUCAGCUGCCGCUGACCUUGGUGGCAGCGUGCUUACCGGCACAUUUGGGAACCCACUCGGUGUUGUGGCUAAGCAGCUCGGCUUGCCGAUGCAUAAGAUCAGAGACAAGUGCCCACUGUAUCGGCCGGAUGGGUCGCCAGUUGAUCCAGAGGUGGAUAAGGAAGUGGAGGGAACAUAUAACAAGUUUCUUGAUAAUGCCAGCCACCUGCGGGCAGCCAUGGGGGAUGUGGCGAUGGAUAUCUCUCUUGGGGCGGCGCUCGAGACAUUACGGCAGUCUGAUGGGGGUAUCUCCUCAGAGGAGGAGAUAAACUUGUUCAAUUGGCAUAUAGCAAAUCUGGAGUACGCCAAUGCAGGAUUAUCUUCAAGGCUUAGCCUUGCAUUCUGGGACCAGGAUGAUCCGUAUGACAUGGGUGGGGAUCACUGCUUCUUGCCUGGUGGCAACGGGAGGCUUGUGCAGGCCCUGGCAGAGAAUGUGCCCAUUGUUUACGAGAGGACAGUGCACACUAUACGGUAUGGAGGGGAUGGUGUGCAGGUGGUUGUCAAUGGUGGUCAGGUGUAUGAAGGGGACAUGGCGCUGUGCACUGUGCCACUUGGGGUUCUGAAAAAUGGGGGUAUCAAGUUUGUACCUGAGCUGCCACAAAGGAAGCUUGAUAGUAUCAAGAAACUAGGCUUUGGGUUGUUAAACAAGGUCGCGAUGUUGUUUCCUCAUGUUUUUUGGAGCGCCGACCUUGAUACCUUUGGACAUCUGACUGAAAAUCCAAGUCGCCGAGGGGAGUUCUUUCUGUUCUAUAGCUAUGCAACAGUGGCUGGUGGUCCAUUGUUGAUGGCUUUGGUUGCUGGUGAGGCUGCCCACAACUUUGAAACCACGCCUCCAACUGAUGCUGUCAGCUCAGUUCUUCAGAUACUGAGGGGCAUCUAUGAACCACAAGGGGUUGAAGUACCAGAUCCUCUACAGAGUGUUUGUACAAGAUGGGGCACAGACUCUUUCAGUUUAGGUUCAUAUUCGCACGUUGCUGUUGGAGCAUCUGGAGAUGACUAUGACAUAUUAGCUGAAAGUGUUGGAGACGGGCGCUUGUUUUUUGCUGGAGAAGCCACCACAAGGCGUUACCCUGCAACAAUGCAUGGAGCUUUUAUUACUGGCGUACGAGAAGCUGCUAACAUCAAUAUCCAUGCCACCGCCCGAGCAACAAAGACCAAAGUAGUAAAAAGCCCAUCUACAAAUGCUCAAGCUUGUGCUACCUUACUAGUAGAUUUGUUUAGGCAACCGGACUUGGAAUUUGGGAGUUUCUCUGUUAUUUUUGGCAGAAAAGCCUCGGAUCCGAAAUCUCCAGCCAUUCUGAAGGUGGAGCUAGGUGGCCCUCAGAAGAAAAGUGCGACCGAAGGAGGGAAAAAAGAGCAGCACCACUCAAACAAAUCGUUGUUUCAGCAGCUACAGUCACAUUUCAACCAGCAGCAGCAGCUCUAUGUGUAUACAUUACUAUCGCGGCAGCAGGCUAUGGAGCUAAGAGAGGUUAGAGGGGGUGAUGAGAUGAGGCUGCAUUACCUCUGUGAAACCCUGGGCGUGAAAUUAGUUGGCAGGAAAGGUCUUGGUCCAGGGGCUGAUGCUGUGAUCGCUUCCAUUAAGGCGGACCGGAACAGCAGUAGAACUAAAUCUGGCCCCUCGAAGCUGAGAGUGCGGGUUUCUAAACCCCAACCUUCUGCUAAAUCGUGA